This 27-nucleotide non-coding RNA is filed under the name Homo sapiens (human). Lineage: Eukaryota; Metazoa; Chordata; Mammalia; Primates; Hominidae. The record is from RNAcentral.
UCAUUUUGAAACGUGGACAAGCCAAGG